UAGGGAAUCUUCCACAAUGGGCGAAAGCCUGAUGGAGCAACGCCGCGUGUGUGAUGAAGGGUUUCGGCUCGUAAAACACUGUUGUAAGAGAAGAAUGACAUUGAGAGUAACUGUUCAAUGUGUGACGGUAUCUCGCCAGAAAGGAACGGCUAAAUACGUGCCAG
This 164-nucleotide ribosomal RNA is filed under the name uncultured bacterium. RNAcentral describes it as "partial 16S rRNA". It matches the Rfam family "Bacterial small subunit ribosomal RNA", at positions 355 to 511 of the family's 1533-position model. The record is from RNAcentral.